RNAcentral lists this transfer RNA (85 nucleotides) under uncultured Paraburkholderia sp. RNAcentral's name for it is "tRNA-Leu-CAA". It matches the Rfam family "tRNA". Rfam says of the family: Transfer RNA (tRNA) molecules are approximately 80 nucleotides in length. The record is from RNAcentral. Lineage: Bacteria; Pseudomonadati; Pseudomonadota; Betaproteobacteria; Burkholderiales; Burkholderiaceae.
GCCCAGGUGGUGAAAUUGGUAGACGCAGGGGACUCAAAAUCCCCCGCCGCAAGGCGUGCCGGUUCGAUUCCGGUCCUGGGCACCA